GUCCACGCCCUAAACGAUGUCAACUGGUUGUUGGUGGGGUUAAACCCAUUAGUAACGAAGCUAACGCGUGAAGUUGACCGCCUGGGGAGUACGGCCGCAAGGUUAAAACUCAAAGGAAUUGACGGGGACCCGCACAAGCGGUGGAUGAUGUGGAUUAAUUCGAUGCAACGCGAAGAACCUUACCUACCCUUGACAUGUACGGAAGCCCGAUGAAAGUCGGGCGUGCCCGAAAGGGAGCCGUAACACAGGUGCUGCAUGGCUGUCGU
This 266-nucleotide ribosomal RNA is filed under the name uncultured bacterium. Its description in RNAcentral is "partial 16S ribosomal RNA". It matches the Rfam family "Bacterial small subunit ribosomal RNA", at positions 793 to 1055 of the family's 1533-position model. The record is from RNAcentral.